GGAUUGGCUCUGAGGGCU
This 18-nucleotide non-coding RNA is filed under the name Arabidopsis thaliana (thale cress). The record is from RNAcentral. Lineage: Eukaryota; Viridiplantae; Streptophyta; Magnoliopsida; Brassicales; Brassicaceae.